This 2495-nucleotide ribosomal RNA is filed under the name Nosema empoascae. RNAcentral describes it as "partial large subunit ribosomal RNA". It matches the Rfam family "Eukaryotic large subunit ribosomal RNA". The record is from RNAcentral. Lineage: Eukaryota; Fungi; Microsporidia; Nosematidae.
UUGGAUGUCAUAACGAUGAAGAACAUAAAAGAAUAUGAUAAGUAUUUUUUUGAAUUCUAAUUCAUUUUAGGAUAACCCUUUGAACUUAAGCAUAUCAUUAGAAGGUGGAAAAUAAACUAACAAGGAUUUCCUUAGUAGUAGCGAACGAACAGGAAAAAACUCAUUAUGUAAUCUAUAUUUAUUAUAGAGAUGUUAAAUGUUAUUGUUGUCAUUCAAAUCAUAGAUACAAUUAUUUGUAGUAAAUGAUGACAAUAUAUAAUUAAUGUAGAGUACGAUUGCUUGGUAGUGCAAUUGGAAUAUAGAUAGAAUAGAAUAUCUAAGGUUAAAUAUUAAAUAUAAAUGAUAUACCGAUAGCAAAUAAGUACAGCGAUGGAAAUUGUGAAAAUGAUAGUAUUAUAGCUUAUAGUAAAUAUAAGACCCGUCUUGAAACACGGACCAAGGAGAUACCAGAUGACAGUAUUAAAAAUAAAUCAUAGGUGAUUUUGUCAUCUGGUAAGACCCGAAACAUAGUGAACUAUAUAUGUCAAUGGUUGAAGAUAAAUGACAGUUUAUUGGAAGACCUAAGUCAUUCUGACGUGCAAACCGAUGGUGAAAGAUGUAUAUAGUGGCGAAAGACCAAUCGAACUAUGUGGUAGCUGGUUCACAGCGAAAUGUCUCUUAGGACAGUUGAGUAUAUAAUAAAGUAAAUAGAUGUAGAGUCAAUACAAUAUUUUUAAUAUUGUUUAACUUCUAAUUCUAUAGGUUUGUAUGUUUUAAUAAUACUUACUAAUAUUUUUGAUACUCAAGUGGGCGUAUGAUUGUAAGAAUGAUAUGCAAUAAGGGAUGAACCUUUAGAUACACUAAAAUUUCUAAUAGUAUUAAAAUUAUAAGUAUGAUGAAUACAUUAUGACAGUAGGGCGGUUGUUAUGGCAGUAGAAAUCCGCUAAGAAACGUGUUACAACGUACCUACCGAAUGUAUUAUUGUAUAAAAUGGAUGAAUAUUAUAAUAAUAUUGAAGUGUAUUAGAAAUAAAUGUUAUGAUUUUAUUCUGGUAGUUGUGUAAUUUGAAUAUAUUGAAGUAUUACAAGUUAUUGUAUAUUGAAUAAUCAAAUGAGCAGAUCUUGGUGGUAGUAACAUAAUAAUUUGUAUUUAUAGAGUUAAGGGUUGUCAUAAAAGAUGACGUGAGACGGUGUUAUAUUAAAACAAAUUGUAUUAAUAUUUUACAAUCUUAUUUAUUAAGUGGUGACACAAAUAUUAGACUAUUGUUAAAAAGAAUCAUAAUAUAAAUGAGUUAUGAAUUUUCUAUGAUGUGAUAGUUGUUAUAAGAUCAUCAUUUUGAUAAUAAUAUGUUAAAAAAUCAAUAAAUAAACCGUACCUAUACCGCAUCAGGUGACUCUGUUUUAUAACAAAUAUAUUAAAAUAAUCUAAGUAAGGGAAUUCGGCAAAAUAGAUCUGUAACUUUGGGAUAAAGAUUGGCUCUAGCAUGCUAGAACUUUUUAUAUUAUGAGAGGAAUCUGACUGUUUAAUAAAAACAUAGCUUUAUGAUAAUGUAAAGUGAAUUCUGCCCAGUGUAUUUAUUAGUUAAAAUAAAAUAAGCAUAUAUAAACGGCGGGAGUAACUAUGACUCUCUUAAGGUAGCCAAAUGCCUCGUCAUUUAAUUGGUGACGCGCAUGAAUGGAGCAACGAGAUUCCUACUGUCCCUAUUUAGAGCUAUGUGAAACAACGAGACAAGGGAACGGGCUUGUUAUUUAUCAGCGGGGAAAGAAGACCCUGUUGAGCUUUACUCUAGUAUAUUUUAAUUCAUAUAUAUUAUAUUGUAGAGAGGUGGGAGAUGUAUUGUGAAACCACUAAUAUUAAUAUUAUAUGAAUUUAUUUUAAUUAUAUGGGGAGUUUGGCUGGGGCGGUACAACUGUUAUAAAGAAACACAGUUGUCCUAAGAUACAAUUAAUUAGGAUAGAAACCUAAUGUUUAAUAUAAGGGUAUAAGUGUGUCUGAUGUAUAGAACAAUAGUUUUAUAUGAUGGGAAACCAUGGCCUAAAGAUCCUCCAAUAAUAAUUCUAUUUGAUUGGAGGUGACAGAAAAGUUACCACAGGGAUAACUGGCUUGUAGCAAAUGAGCGAUCAUAGCGACUUUGCUUUUUGAUUCUUCGAUGUCGUCUCUUCUGAUCAUCGUAGUGUAUAUGUUACGAAGUGUUGGAUUGUUCACCCGUUAAUGAGGAACGUGAGAUGGGUUUAGACCGUCGUGAGACAGGUUAGUUUUACCCUACUGUAAAUAUCAUUAAGAAAAGUUAUAUAGUACGAGAGGAACAAUAAGUGAUGACCACUGGUGUAGCGAUUAAUUAUUCAAUUAUGUUGCAAAACUACGUCAURAAUAAUAAAUGCUGAAAGCCUCUUAAGCAUGAAGUUAAUCUUAAUGAUAAAUAAGUGAGGAAUACUACCUCUAUAAAGAGUGGGACUGUAAGAAUGAAGGUGUAUACCGACAUUUUGAGGUUACCAUCUCGUUCUAUAAAAAGUUUA